GAUGAACGCUGGCGGCGUGCCUAAUACAUGCAAGUCGAGCGAACGGACGAGAAGCUUGCUUCUCUGAUGUUAGCGGCGGACGGGUGAGUAACACGUGGAUAACCUACCUAUAAGACUGGGAUAACUUCGGGAAACCGGAGCUAAUACCGGAUAAUAUUUUGAACCGCAUGGUUCAAAAGUGAAAGACGGUCUUGCUGUCACUUAUAGAUGGAUCCGCGCUGCAUUAGCUAGUUGGUAAGGUAACGGCUUACCAAGGCAACGAUGCAUAGCCGACCUGAGAGGGGGAUCGGCCACACUGGAACUGGAACACGGUCCAGACUCCUACGGGAGGCAGCAGUAGGGAAUCUUCCGCAAUGGGCGAAAGCCUGACGGAGCAACGCCGCGUGAGUGAUGAAGGUCUUCGGAUCGUAAAACUCUGUUAUUAGGGAAGAACAUAUGUGUAAGUAACUGUGCACAUCUUGACGGUACCUAAUCAGAAAGCCACGGCUAACUACGUG
This 497-nucleotide ribosomal RNA is filed under the name uncultured bacterium. RNAcentral describes it as "partial 16S ribosomal RNA". It matches the Rfam family "Bacterial small subunit ribosomal RNA", at positions 28 to 507 of the family's 1533-position model. The record is from RNAcentral.